UACGGAGGGGGUUAGCGUUGUUCGGAAUUACUGGGCGUAAAGCGCACGUAGGCGGAUCAGAAAGUUGGGGGUGAAAUCCCAGGGCUCAACCCUGGAACUGCCCUCAAAACUCCUGGUCUUGAGUUCGAGAGAGGUGAGUGGAAUUCCAAGUGUAGAGGUGAAAUUCGUAGAUAUUUGGAGGAACACCAGUGGCGAAGGCGGCUCACUGGCUCGAUACUGACGCUGAGGUGCGAAAGUGUGGGGAGCAAACAGG
RNAcentral lists this ribosomal RNA (253 nucleotides) under uncultured bacterium. Its description in RNAcentral is "partial 16S ribosomal RNA". It matches the Rfam family "Bacterial small subunit ribosomal RNA", at positions 524 to 776 of the family's 1533-position model. The record is from RNAcentral.